This 73-nucleotide transfer RNA is filed under the name Rhodopila globiformis. It matches the Rfam family "tRNA". From Rfam's summary of the family: Transfer RNA (tRNA) molecules are approximately 80 nucleotides in length. Their secondary structure includes four short double-helical elements and three loops (D, anti-codon, and T loops). The record is from Rfam by way of RNAcentral. Lineage: Bacteria; Pseudomonadati; Pseudomonadota; Alphaproteobacteria; Acetobacterales; Acetobacteraceae. RNAcentral also lists the same sequence under 2 other names.
GGGGGCGUAGCUCAGCUGGGAGAGCACCUGCUUUGCAAGCAGGGGGUCACCGGUUCGAUCCCGGUCGUCUCCA